Molecule: non-coding RNA, 501 nt
Organism: Ictidomys tridecemlineatus (thirteen-lined ground squirrel)
Lineage: Eukaryota; Metazoa; Chordata; Mammalia; Rodentia; Sciuridae
Source: RefSeq, a predicted model, not a curated record
UGAGUUCAAGGAACCCGCGCCGAGCCUCACGGCGAGCAGGGGCGAUGGAAAGUUGGCAGUGAUCUGGCCCCCCCGCAGGAAGGCUUCGGAGAACGGCCUGGAGCAGGAGGAGCGCAAACCUUGAAGUUUGAAUAGGCUGGGACCCCGGGCUUGAAUUAACAUACCGGUGGGAGGACCAGGUUAGCGACGCCCAGCAGGACUUCCCUGCCCACCCUCCCGACCCCCCAGCUUCAGCAGAAGGCUUUAAGAGGGGUCAGCCCUCUGCACUGGUGAACUUGAAAUCAACCAGCCCAUUCUGUUUUCACUUUGUGACAUUGACCAGUCCCUUCUGUAAAAUGGUUUAGUCUCCACUAGGAAACUGACCACCAUCUACAAACCGUGACUGUUCAACCCUUCUUAGUCUAACUGAACUAACUUUUUGAUUGUUAGAGGGUCGGGGUCACCGUCCCCCCCCCCCCCCCCGCAAUAAAGCCCCGUUUUCCUGGGCUGUGCAAGCUGGUU